GGGGAUUUAGCUCAGUGGUAGAGCGCUUGCCUAGCAAACGCAAGGCCCUGGGUUCGAUCCCCAGCUCCA
RNAcentral lists this transfer RNA (69 nucleotides) under Rattus norvegicus (Norway rat). It matches the Rfam family "tRNA". From Rfam's summary of the family: Transfer RNA (tRNA) molecules are approximately 80 nucleotides in length. Their secondary structure includes four short double-helical elements and three loops (D, anti-codon, and T loops). Lineage: Eukaryota; Metazoa; Chordata; Mammalia; Rodentia; Muridae. The record is from Rfam by way of RNAcentral.